UGCUUUAGACAGUGGUUGCUUUCUUUUCACAGACUUAACUGCCUUGAAGAACUGACUCAAAGCCUGUAGAAAUCAACAGGCUCCACAUUGAACAACAGGUUAUGGAGGAGGCUUGGCAUGCUAAGGAAUGUUUACACCACUUACUGUGACAAAGGAGGGUCCUAUUCAAAGAUGCAUGGAAGUCAGCCAUUUUAUAAGCUUUCCCACCAUCCCCACCAAUUCCAGGUCCAGUUCAUCCCAGGAAUUAAGUGAGGCUACUCAGAAGAAAAGUGAAAAACUGCAGGAUGGCAGAAUUGGGCUUUGGCUUGUCUUGAAUGGUA
RNAcentral lists this long non-coding RNA (320 nucleotides) under Crocodylus porosus (Australian saltwater crocodile). RNAcentral's name for it is "lncRNA (ENSCPRG00005005619.1)". The record is from RNAcentral. Lineage: Eukaryota; Metazoa; Chordata; Crocodylia; Crocodylidae.